This 433-nucleotide ribosomal RNA is filed under the name uncultured bacterium. RNAcentral's name for it is "partial 16S ribosomal RNA". It matches the Rfam family "Bacterial small subunit ribosomal RNA", at positions 29 to 507 of the family's 1533-position model. The record is from RNAcentral.
AACGAACGCUGGCGGCAUGCCUAACACAUGCAAGUCGAACGAGACCUUCGGGUCUAGCGGCGCACGGGUGCGUAACACGUGGGAAUCUGCCCUUUGCUUCGGAAUAACAGUUAGAAAUGACUGCUAAUACCGGAUGAUGUCGAAAGACCAAAGAUUUAUCGGCAAAGGAUGAGCCCGCGUAGGAUUAGGUAGUUGGUGGGGUAAAGGCCUACCAAGCCGACGAUCCUUAGCUGGUCUGAGAGGAUGAUCAGCCACACUGGGACUGAGACACGGCCCAGACUCCUACGGGAGGCAGCAGUGGGGAAUAUUGGACAAUGGGCGAAAGCCUGAUCCAGCAAUGCCGCGUGAGUGAUGAAGGCCUUAGGGUUGUAAAGCUCUUUUACCAGGGAUGAUAAUGACAGUACCUGGAGAAUAAGCUCCGGCUAACUCCGUG